This 690-nucleotide ribosomal RNA is filed under the name Triticum aestivum (bread wheat). RNAcentral's name for it is "partial small subunit ribosomal RNA". Lineage: Eukaryota; Viridiplantae; Streptophyta; Magnoliopsida; Poales; Poaceae. The record is from RNAcentral.
AUGGUGGAUGACCCGGCGAUGGACGCCAUGGUCGCGUGGGGGUCAGCCAGCAACAGCUUCGCCGUCACCGACCCCUUCGCCUUCUCGGAGAUGCUGCUGCCCACGCACUUCAAGCACUCCAACUUCUCCAGCUUCGUCCCCCAGGUCAACACCUACGGCUUCCGCAAGGUCAACCCGGACCGGUGGGAGUUCGCGGACGCCUUCUUCCUCCGCGGCCAGAUGCACCUCCUACCCCGCAUUGUCCGGCGCUGGAACGGCGGCAAGCGUGGCAAGGAAGACGCCGGCGAGGGGGAUGAAGACAUCAGCAGCAAGAUGUUAGCCAUGGAGGUGGUCCGACUGAAGGAGGAGCAGAGGGCCACCAAGGACCGCUUGGCGGCGAUGUGGCGCCCGGUGCAGGACGCCGAGUGCCGGCCCAAACUCAUGCUCGCCUUCCUCCUCAAGGUCGUCGGAGACCCCGACGUGCUACGCCGCCUCGUAGGCAACUUGAGCAGCAACGACGGAUUGUUCCCCGGCGAGGGCGCGGAGACCAAGAGGCCGCGGCUGCUUCUUAACGGUGAAGCCCAGAUGCAGGACGCCUUCGUGGGGGAACCCGGGGUCGACUUCACUGGGUUCUACACGGGAGGCGACGGGUUUAGCGAGGUGCCGGUGGACAACCCCCCGUACGCUUUCCCGAUGGACACCGGCUACUGA